UUGGGGGAAUGUAUUAGUCCUCUUAUGAGGCUAGUUGUGUUUUUAGCAAUUUUAAAAACAUAACACCAACUACGUUGGCUAAAAUUCUAGAUAGAAUACUGAUUAUGACUAUUUUCUAUCUAUAUGUCUUGACCAAAUUACGUGCCAGCAGUCGCGGUAAUACGUAGAAGACUAGUGUUAUUCAUAUUUAACAGGUUUAAAGGGUACCUAGACGGUAUUAUUAACCCAAAACAGGGAUAUAUUUUUACUAGAGUUUGAUAUAAGAAGGGAGUAUUUAGAGAGUAGAGUUGAAAUUUUUUGAUACUCUAAGGACUGGUAAUGGCGAAGGCACUCUUCUAUGUAAUAACUGACGUUAAGGGACGAAGGCUUGGGGCGCGAACAGGAUUAGGUACCCUAGUAGUCCAUGCAGAUAAUUAUGAAUGCCAUAGACUAGGUAUAUUUUAGUUUAUAAAUGAAAGUGUAAGCAUUCCACCUCAAGAGUACUGUGGCAACGCUGGAACUGAAAUCAUUAGACCGUUUCUGAGAACAGUAGUGAAGUAUGUUAUAUAAUUCGAUAGUCCUCGUAAAACCUUACCACAACUUGAAUGGUGUCCAAUUUUAAUAUAAUAUUUGAACAAUAGCUAUUUAGACAACAUAAAGGUUAAUUUAGCUAGAUUAGAUAAAAAUAUAUAAUUAAUAGGAUGUUACAAGUGUUGCACGGUUGUCUUCAGCUAAUGUCGUGAGAUUUUGGUUAGUUCCUUUAAAUUAGCGUAAACCCGGGCUUUAUUUUUAAUAUUUAUUAUGAUAAAGCAGUUCGUCAUUAUAUCGAGAUAUGAUAA
RNAcentral lists this ribosomal RNA (818 nucleotides) under Lophodermium herbarum. Its description in RNAcentral is "mitochondrial SSU rRNA". It matches the Rfam family "Bacterial small subunit ribosomal RNA", at positions 1 to 1171 of the family's 1533-position model. Lineage: Eukaryota; Fungi; Ascomycota; Leotiomycetes; Rhytismatales; Rhytismataceae. The record is from RNAcentral.